UGACCUGCCCGGUGAAUUUUUUUAACGGCCGCGGUAUCUUGACCGUGCAAAGGUAGCCUAAUCAAUUGUUUUAUAAUUGAAGACUGGAAUGGAUGGUUGAAUGAAAUAUUAGCUGGCUUAUUUGGAUUUAUUAAAAUUUAACUUUUAAAUGAAGAGAUUUAGAUGUAUUUGAUAGACAAGAAGACCCUGUUGAGCUUUAAAUAAUUUUAGAGAUGGAUUUUAUUAUUUUAAAUAAAUAGAUUUUAGAUUUUUUUUGGUUGGGGCGACUGGGGAAUAAUAAAAGCUUCCUUUAACUUAAAUAAAUUGGUCGAUUUUGAUCCAAUAUUAUUGAUUAAAAAAAAUAGUUACCACAGGGAUAACAGCCUAAUCUUCUUUGAGAGUUCAUAUCGAAAAGAGGGGUUGUGACCUCGAUGUUGGACUAAAAUAUCCUAUAAAUGUACCUGUUUAUGAUGGUAGG
Molecule: ribosomal RNA, 457 nt
Filed under: Bellamya sp. 5 AJ-2009
Lineage: Eukaryota; Metazoa; Mollusca; Gastropoda; Architaenioglossa; Viviparidae
Description: partial 16S ribosomal RNA
Rfam family: Bacterial large subunit ribosomal RNA
Source: RNAcentral